GAUGAACGCUGGCGGCGUGCUUAACACAUGCAAGUCGAACGGAGCUAUGACACGGAGUCUUCGGAUGAAGUGCUGUAGCUUAGUGGCGGACGGGUGAGUAACACGUGAGCAACCUACCUUUUGCAGGGGAAUAACUCUGGGAAACCAGAGCUAAUACCGCAUGCCGUGCGCUUGGGGCAUCCCAGGUGCAUGAAAGGAGCAAUCCGGCAGAAGAUGGGCUCGCGUCCGAUUAGGUAGUUGGAGAGGUAACGGCUCCCCAAGCCGACGAUCGGUAGCCGGACUGAGAGGUCGAUCGGCCACAUUGGGACUGAGACACGGCCCAGACUCCUACGGGAGGCAGCAGUGGGGAAUAUUGGGCAAUGGGCGGAAGCCUGACCCAGCGACGCCGCGUGAAGGAGGAAGGCUUUCGAGUUGUAAACUUCUUUGGGGAGGGACGAAGAUGACGGUACCUCCAGAACAAGCCACGGCUAACUACGUGCCAGCAGCCGCGGU
Molecule: ribosomal RNA, 492 nt
Filed under: uncultured bacterium
Lineage: Bacteria
Description: bacterial SSU rRNA
Rfam family: Bacterial small subunit ribosomal RNA
Source: RNAcentral